GUUUGUUAGUAUUCCCAAUUCAAUUCAACCAAAAUGAAAGUCAUUGUAACGCUUUUGUGUCUAGUUGCAGUAAGCUGUGCGCUGCCAGUAAGCGAGUUACCAUCGAGUAUCGCGACAGUAUUUCCGGAUUCGGUGGGAUUGAACGACACGACUGUGUUGACGGAAUUGAAUAAGGAAAAUGAAGGGAAUGCAAAUCGAACGACAAGAGACAUUAUAGAUACACCAACUCCAGCGCUUGUAGUUGGUCCUUCUGGAAGCGUAGGCAUUCCACUCGGACCUAGCAUAGCAAUUUCAACUGGACCAAAUCCUUCGAAUCCUGGUGGCCCGCCAGAGGUAUUUGCAUAUUGAAUGUUUUUUCUCAAUGUAAUUCAAAGUGAAAUGUUUUGAAAUUCUAUUGUUGAAAACCGCGGUUUCUUUUAAAUAAAUAUUAACUCGAGUUUUGCAUCUAUU
This is a long non-coding RNA of Bradysia coprophila, 450 nucleotides long. Lineage: Eukaryota; Metazoa; Arthropoda; Insecta; Diptera; Sciaridae. The record is from RefSeq and is a predicted model, not a curated record.